Long non-coding RNA from Cuculus canorus (common cuckoo), 2956 nucleotides. RefSeq lists it as uncharacterized. NCBI's taxonomy places the organism in Eukaryota, Metazoa, Chordata, Aves, Cuculiformes, Cuculidae. The transcript is spliced from 3 exons. The record is from RefSeq and is a predicted model, not a curated record.
AAAUGUUUGAUUUAAAGUAUGUGGGUUUAACUUUUCUUUAAUUGCUUAAAUCCUCUAUGCCAUGCCACUGCAUAAUAUUGUUACUGUUUCUUGCUUUCCAGCAGCAACUUGAUGCCAUCCAAAUUGUGAUGAGACAAACUCCAGGAGAAUUUUAAGUAUCCAGAAUACUAUCCAAGCCUGAACUCACAACACCAAGAACUCCUAUUUAACUAAUUAAACACCUGCAAUGUGGCAUUUUUAAUUAUUACAAAUCGGUAGAAACCUUUAGCUGAAUGACAAGGUGUGCAACACAAUGCCUUCUCUUUAACUAACUGCAGUUUAUAUUGACAAGGUUUUAAUGAGUUGAUAAACUUGUCCUCCAGCGCUAUCCAACAAACAAUGCUGUAUAGUGCUGUCCAUGAAAUAUUAUAUCCAGGAAGAAAAAAAAGGCAUUAAAUGCAUUACAUACCUUUCUUCUACACGUAUUGCAGGCAAGUAAGACCGACUAGACAAGAUUCUGUUAGACAGAGAUAUCUACCAUAAUUAUUUUCUUCACUUCUAUAUCUUCUUGAAAUUAUAUAUGUAAAAAAAUAUCGAGGCAUUGGUUGUGCUAUCUAGGGCUUCAAUAAAUCGAAGAUGAUUUUCUAAUGGUUAGGAAGUAAAAGAAUGCAAGAAAGGUACAAGUCAAAAUCAAAGAUGAUGCUAGGCAUACAUAGGAUGGACAAGGAGAUCAGACCCUUUCUCAUUCAGCCUUACACUCUGUGAAAAGAUCUCCCAAAUGUUGUCACUGCAUAAUUUUUUUUUUCUCUUCAAAACACAUCAAGCCUAUCCCCCUUGCACCCAAUAUGUUCACAUCUCCAUUGCAGCUUAUGGCCAAAUGGGGAUAUUAGUAUACAAUUUCUCAAGACUUUGAAAGUGUGAACUGUUUAGCAAGACAUAAGCGGUGUGCCGAGUCUGAAGCAUCAGCUCUGAAAGUACACGCUACUUCAUGCAUCACCGCACAGCUGGUCUUAGUUGGAUCUGUUAUGGCCACGUUUCUACCUUAUCUGCGGGACCAGACACAGUGCUGCCUGUGAUUUUCAGAAAGCAGACUCUUCAUUUAUUUCAGCGUCUUACUGGAUGAAAGGAUUCAGAAGCUGCUUCCAGGAGGAUGAAUUGAAAACAACUUAUGUACUAGAGGAAGAAUGUAAACAUCAACAAAUUAGGCAAAAUAAUGCAAGGUCUACUGCUAACAAAAUAUUCCUGAGAUCAAGAUUGAGACUCACUAUUCAAUUAGAUUAGAUUUACCAUGGUCUGAUCAAUUAAAGCUGUAAUAGUGAAGAAAGAAAGUCAUUGUUGCAGUAAGAUGAAAAGACGCAAGGAAGGAAAUAAAAGAAAUUGCCCUUGGUUUCAGAAAAGUAAUAGAAGAAAAUAAAAGAAAUACAACUGUGUAAAUGUUACAGAUAGAAUUUUUUGGUCUUGGAGUUGCUAACCCCUAGCACUGACUGUUUGUGACACUUCAGUAGCCAUCUGAAGGGUGACAGAACUUUGUAAAAGAGAUGAAAAUAUGCCUAAGCAUGUAUACAAAAAUAGCUGAAAGAUCAAGAAAGUAGGGGAAUGCAAGUAGUUGCAUGGGUUGGAUGCUAGAUCUCUUGUUUCAAAAAGCAGAAAAAUUAAUGAUUAUCUAAUGAUUGUGCUUUUAAUUCAGUUAAUGUAAGAUAUGCUGUUAAAUUUCAGAAAGAAACUAGGCAAAUUUUGUAUGACUAUCAUAAUAGAAAACCGAUUAUGAAAAUUAUUAAUUUUGCCUCCUUUCUCUUGUUGCUGUAAUGGAGUAGAAGAAUAUUCAGGGCACCAAUACACCAAUCUCAUUCUGAAUUAGCCCGACUUAUCUAUAAAAUACUUUCUGGCAGCUAGUAAUAUACAACCAACAAAACCACAGAGCAUUGAAAAGAUGUUUUCAUUGUGAAUAGCAUGUUGAAUCAAUUUUUAGUUUGCAAAUUUCUUAUUUCAAAAUAUUGGGGUUUCAAUAUAUUUAUAAGAAAUUAAUCAUAAAAUAUUGAGAGAAAAGUUCUUAUUCAAUGGUUUGACCAGGGUCACUAAGUAGAUUCAAUAUCUGUUUUUUUAGCUGGCAUGAAGAUCUGACAACACAUUUCAGUCCCUGGAACAGAUGCUGGAAACCGCCACUUUUUGUAUAAACAUAUAUUUAACUAAUAUGCAUUUUCUCUGUAUGUACAUAUAGAAAUCAAACUAAUACCUUACUAUCUGGUCUCGGAAAUGCAAAGUGUUUCUAAACGGUCUUGGAAAGAACCUUUAAAGACAUUUUCAUGACAAAAUCCCAUCAUAGCAUGUUACAUUAUCUUGGUUGAGCUGAACCUAUAUUAUCACCCACUACUAACCCUUAUCUGCUGUACCACAAAACAUCAAUGAUGCACUGGUUUUGGUCAACAGAGACGGAAGAGCAGGUUUAAGGCUUAUUUUGCUCUCUUCAUAUAAUUGACUGUGAUCUGUUGGAGGAGUUAAUCCUCUAAGAAAAAGUUAAUAAUAACACAUAAAAGAGCAUUCAACAUUUCUAGAUGAAAAAUGUGUUUCUCCAAAGAAACUUCAAGUCAGUGAUGCAUGUUACAAGGUUAUUUAGGCCAAUAGGCCACUAUCAUUAAAUUUAUUUACAAAUAUCAUCGAGAAGAAAAUUCUAUUUACUGUUCUCAAUCUGAUAUCUUCAAUAAACAUUAAAGAAAUAGUGUUACUCGAGCUUCAGGUACAGGUGGCUACACGCUUGCUAUUGAAACCUCAGAAUAAUGGAAACUGAAAAAGACUAUUAUGUAUCAAUACUUGAAGUACAGCUGAAUUAUGCAAUAUGAAAUUGAACUAAAAUCAAGGAGGAAUGGUGAUGCACAAAAUAGUGCCAAUAAACUUCACUCUCAAUAUUAAAUCUUGCGAUUAUAUUCCAUAGUAAGGAGCUUUUAAUAAGUAAAAUUUCCUGUUAAGUAAUGAGUAAAUA